AGUGAACGCUGGCGGUAGGCCUAACACAUGCAAGUCGAACGGCAGCACAGUAAGAGCUUGCUCUUACGGGUGGCGAGUGGCGGACGGGUGAGGAAUACAUCGGAAUCUACUUUUUCGUGGGGGAUAACGUAGGGAAACUUACGCUAAUACCGCAUACGACCUACGGGUGAAAGCAGGGGAUCUUCGGACCUUGCGCGACUGAAUGAGCCGAUGUCGGAUUAGCUAGUUGGCGGGGUAAAGGCCCACCAAGGCGACGAUCCGUAGCUGGUCUGAGAGGAUGAUCAGCCACACUGGAACUGAGACACGGUCCAGACUCCUACGGGAGGCAGCAGUAGGGAAUAUUGGACAAUGGGCGCAAGCCUGAUCCAGCCAUACCGCGUGGGUGAAGAAGGCCUUCGGGUUGUAAAGCCCUUUUGUUGGGAAAGAAAAGCAGCAGGUUAAUACCCCGCUGUUCUGACGGUACCCAAAGAAUAAGCACCGGCUAACUUCGUG
RNAcentral lists this ribosomal RNA (492 nucleotides) under uncultured bacterium. RNAcentral describes it as "partial 16S ribosomal RNA". It matches the Rfam family "Bacterial small subunit ribosomal RNA", at positions 29 to 507 of the family's 1533-position model. The record is from RNAcentral.